UACGGAGGGGGUUAGCGUUGUUCGGAAUGACUGGGCGUAAAGCGCGCGUAGGCGGACCGCAAAGUUGGGGGUGAAAGCCCAGGGCUCAACCCCGGAACUGCCUUCAAAACUAUUGGUCUGGAGUUCGAGAGAGGUGAGUGGAAUACCGAGUGUAGAGGUGAAAUUCGUAGAUAUUCGGUGGAACACCAGUGGCGAAGGCGGCUCACUGGAUCGAUACUGACGCUGAGGUGCGAAAGCGUGGGGAGCAAACAGG
Molecule: ribosomal RNA, 253 nt
Filed under: uncultured bacterium
Lineage: Bacteria
Description: partial 16S ribosomal RNA
Rfam family: Bacterial small subunit ribosomal RNA
Source: RNAcentral